CCUUAAUGUUGGCCAGAAUUAGGCAGUCAGAUUGCAGUGGUAACACAGAAGUUGUUGUCACUAUGUUGAGAUGCCGGUUACAUUGUAAUAAACACUGAUGUGGUAGUACAUAGGUGCCCGUCUUACUGUAGUGUUGGCUUUUUGGCAUCAGUAAGCUUGCUCUGGAGGCAAUGAUGUGUAAGUCAUAUUGAGCAGGUCUACUGAGGAGAGCAGUGGUGUAUCAGUCAGAAUGUUCUGGGCACCAAGGUUCC
This is a non-coding RNA of Pelobates cultripes (western spadefoot toad), 251 nucleotides long. The record is from the annotation of a GenBank genome assembly. NCBI's taxonomy places the organism in Eukaryota, Metazoa, Chordata, Amphibia, Anura, Pelobatidae.